This 520-nucleotide ribosomal RNA is filed under the name uncultured Glomus. Its description in RNAcentral is "SSU rRNA". It matches the Rfam family "Eukaryotic small subunit ribosomal RNA", at positions 569 to 1091 of the family's 1831-position model. Lineage: Eukaryota; Fungi; Glomeromycota; Glomeromycetes; Glomerales; Glomeraceae. The record is from RNAcentral.
AGCAGCCGCGGUAAUUCCAGCUCCAAUAGCGUAUAUUAAAGUUGUUGCAGUUAAAAAGCUCGUAGUUGAAUUUCGAGACCGGCUUACUGGUCGUGCUAUUGUACGUACUGGUAUAAUCGGUUUCUCCUUUCUGACGAACUAUAAUGCCAUUAAUUUGGUGUUUUAGGGAAUCAGGACUGUUACUUUGAAAAAAUUAGAGUGUUUAAAGCAGGCUCACGCUUGAAUACAUUAGCAUGGAAUAACGGAAUAGGACGUUUGAUUCUAUUUUGUUGGUUUCUUAGGAUCGACGUAAUGAUUAAUAGGGAUAGUUGGGGGCAUUAGUAUUCAAUUGUCAGAGGUGAAAUUCUUGGAUUUAUUGAAGACUAACUACUGCGAAAGCAUUUGCCAAGGAUGUUUUCAUUAAUCAAGAACGAAAGUUAGGGGAUCGAAGACGAUCAGAUACCGUCGUAGUCUUAACCAUAAACUAUGCCGACUAGGGAUCGGAUGAUGUUAAUUUUUAAUGACUCAUUCGGCGCCUUAC